GCUUCGGUCACCAAGAAAGGAUGUACCGAAUUCCAAAGAGUGUCGGGCCUUAUCGGGCAGCUGCUUCUACAGGCGCGAGGACACGAGGCAGCGCCGCGCCGGUCCGUGAAGAAAAAGAAAGAAAAAGGAUCUUUAAGUAAGAAAUGAAAAGGAUCUUGCAAUGGGCUAUACAUAACCAGGCUGGGGGAACAAAAGACUCCAGCCAUGGUAACCGUUUGCUACAUGUGCUAAUUUCCUGAUAUUAGUAACCAAUGAUCGUGUGAUUGUUGCAUGUUCCCAGUGUGUAUAGCUAGCGAGUGCCAUUUAUAUGACAAUGCAGAGAGUAUAGUACAGUAAUUUUUAAAUCUUCAAUUCUACCUUAGGAAGCAGGCAGUGUCUUUUUCUUGUGCAAGAAAACAACUUAUAUCUAUACUUGCUUCAAAAUAGUAAGAUUAGUGUAAAUAUCUUGAUUGAUUUCUUGGCCAUGACACUUCCCUAAGUAUGAUGUAGUCUUUGCUGUUCAUAAUAGAAAAUCACAUCCUCUCUUCAAUCUGAAAGGCAGAAAAUAACUUGCCAGUUUGAUGAUCCAUUCCUAUGACACAUUGUUUGAACAGUAAUAAUGCCUUUCAUGACUCAUGCAUCCUCAUUUUCCUUUAAAAUGAUACCUUUUCCUGUGUAAAAUCACAGGUAAACAUGCUUAUUCGAUGCCUAUCAGCCUGACAAUUUGUUCAGAGAGUGGAAGAUUGGUUCUGAAAGUUAUUGAAAUCUAUGCCAGUUCCUUCUUUCACUUUAUAUACAAAAUAUAAAGACUGAAACAGAAUUCAGAAGAUCACUAUAUUUCAUCACACUGUCUGACAAGAGAAUUACAAAGACAUAGUGGAAUUUUUAGUUCCAAGUGACUUUCUUUCAGAAAUAUAAGUGUUAGGUAAGGUUAUCUAGCGCAUAUUGGAUUUUGAUCUCUUUUGAGUUCCUCUUCUGGACUGGAGAUUAACACAGUAUUUUCUUUAAUGAAGUUGAAAGUCAUAUACUGUUUCUAGAGACAGCAUAGCCCAGUUUUGCAAAGCAGUUUAAUUUGUGCUUAAUUUUAAACCUCCACACGUCCGUGCUGAUUUUAGUACUUUCACUCACAUAUUUCAAAUCAAUAAAUGUUUUCCUGCACCAGGCACUUACCACUUCUAAUCCAGGAAUAUUGAAUAACUAAAAACCUCAGAGUCUGACCCAAAGAAUAUGCAAUCAGAGAAAGGAGUCCUAAAUUCUAACAUUUACAAAUGUCAUCUGUGAACUUUGCAAUAGCUGCUCGCAUUUGGAGAACGACAUAUCUUGCAACUUACAUAUAUACACAUUCAAACUUCAAUAACAGAAAAGGAAAAAUAAUCAAAUGUAAUAACAUCUGUAUUUUUUCAUAUGUUGGUGUCAUCUUGUUUAUGUGAGCAGAAACAAUAGUCAAUUUAGAAAGUAAUCAAAAGGAAGAGGUAAAAAAGUACAAUAUAGAGGCAGGAAAUAUCCAUGCCAAUUGGAGGAGGUUUUCUUCUUUGGGAAUCAGCUCAUUUUUAUACUGGGAAAAGAUGCAGAAAUGAUCUUACUUUGACAGAAAGUAUAUUUCCCUUGAAAUCCAGAGGUAUUGAAAAAUAAACCAGAUCAGAAUCACUGUUUAUGCUGAGUCUCAUGAAAGUAGACACAUUCCAAUAACAUUACUAAUCUAAAAAUAUGUUUAAAUAAUAGCAUUGAUCUAAGUUCAGAGAAGAAAUAAUUUUGGACACAAUGUUCAGAGCAAGUGGUUAGGUAACACAACACCCUAUUUUCAUAUCAUUAAUGUUAAUAUUAUGAUAGUAUAUGGUAAUAUGUGUUAGUCUGUGAAGAAACAAGAAACUGUAGCACAGAUAAGUUUAAAAUUAGUGUAAAUUUAUUUAGGUAAGAAGCUGCUCAGGAAAGAAUGAGAUAAAGAGUUUGCUGA
This is a long non-coding RNA of Dromaius novaehollandiae (emu), 1933 nucleotides long. RefSeq lists it as uncharacterized. The record is from RefSeq and is a predicted model, not a curated record. The transcript has 3 exons. Lineage: Eukaryota; Metazoa; Chordata; Aves; Casuariiformes; Dromaiidae.